UACGGAGGGUGCGAGCGUUACCCGGAUUUACUGGGUGUAAAGGGCGUGUAGGCGGUCUCUCAAGUCCGAUGCUAAAGACCGAAGCUCAACUUCGGGGGUGCGUUGGAUACUGUGAGGCUAGACGGUCGGAGGGGGUAGCGGAAUUUCCGGAGUAGCGGUGAAAUGCGCAGAUACCGGAAGGAACGCCGAUAGCGAAGGCAGCUACCUGGACGAUUGGUGACGAUGAGGCGCGAAAGCGUGGGGAGCAAACCGG
RNAcentral lists this ribosomal RNA (253 nucleotides) under uncultured bacterium. RNAcentral describes it as "partial 16S ribosomal RNA". It matches the Rfam family "Bacterial small subunit ribosomal RNA", at positions 524 to 776 of the family's 1533-position model. The record is from RNAcentral.